UUAAGUGACUAAGCGUACACGGUGGAUGCCCUGGCAGUCAGAGGCGAUGAAGGACGUGCUAAUCUGCGAUAAGCGUCGGUAAGGUGAUAUGAACCGUUAUAACCGGCGAUUUCCGAAUGGGGAAACCCAGUGUGAUUCGUCACACUAUCAUUAACUGAAUCCAUAGGUUAAUGAGGCGAACCGGGGGAACUGAAACAUCUAAGUACCCCGAGGAAAAGAAAUCAACCGAGAUUCCCCCAGUAGCGGCGAGCGAACGGGGAGGAGCCCAGAGCCUGAAUCAGUGUGUGUGUUAGUGGAAGCGUCUGGAAAGGCGCGCGAUACAGGGUGACAGCCCCGUACACAAAAAUACACAUACUGUGAGCUCGAUGAGUAGGGCGGGACACGUGGUAUCCUGUCUGAAUAUGGGGGGACCAUCCUCCAAGGCUAAAUACUCCUGACUGACCGAUAGUGAACCAGUACCGUGAGGGAAAGGCGAAAAGAACCCCGGCGAGGGGAGUGAAAAAGAACCUGAAACCGUGUACGUACAAGCAGUGGGAGCACGCUUAGGCGUGUGACUGCGUACCUUUUGUAUAAUGGGUCAGCGACUUAUAUUCUGUAGCAAGGUUAACCGAAUAGGGGAGCCGAAGGGAAACCGAGUCUUAACUGGGCGUUAAGUUGCAGGGUAUAGACCCGAAACCCGGUGAUCUAGCCAUGGGCAGGUUGAAGGUUGGGUAACACUAACUGGAGGACCGAACCGACUAAUGUUGAAAAAUUAGCGGAUGACUUGUGGCUGGGGGUGAAAGGCCAAUCAAACCGGGAGAUAGCUGGUUCUCCCCGAAAGCUAUUUAGGUAGCGCCUCGUGAAUUCAUCUCCGGGGGUAGAGCACUGUUUCGGCAAGGGGGUCAUCCCGACUUACCAACCCGAUGCAAACUGCGAAUACCGGAGAAUGUUAUCACGGGAGACACACGGCGGGUGCUAACGUCCGUCGUGAAGAGGGAAACAACCCAGACCGCCAGCUAAGGUCCCAAAGUCAUGGUUAAGUGGGAAACGAUGUGGGAAGGCCCAGACAGCCAGGAUGUUGGCUUAGAAGCAGCCAUCAUUUAAAGAAAGCGUAAUAGCUCACUGGUCGAGUCGGCCUGCGCGGAAGAUGUAACGGGGCUAAACCAUGCACCGAAGCUGCGGCAGCGACGCUUAUGCGUUGUUGGGUAGGGGAGCGUUCUGUAAGCCUGCGAAGGUGUGCUGUGAGGCAUGCUGGAGGUAUCAGAAGUGCGAAUGCUGACAUAAGUAACGAUAAAGCGGGUGAAAAGCCCGCUCGCCGGAAGACCAAGGGUUCCUGUCCAACGUUAAUCGGGGCAGGGUGAGUCGACCCCUAAGGCGAGGCCGAAAGGCGUAGUCGAUGGGAAACAGGUUAAUAUUCCUGUACUUGGUGUUACUGCGAAGGGGGGACGGAGAAGGCUAUGUUGGCCGGGCGACGGUUGUCCCGGUUUAAGCGUGUAGGCUGGUUUUCCAGGCAAAUCCGGAAAAUCAAGGCUGAGGCGUGAUGACGAGGCACUACGGUGCUGAAGCAACAAAUGCCAUGCUUCCAGGAAAAGCCUCUAAGCAUCAGGUAACAUCAAAUCGUACCCCAAACCGACACAGGUGGUCAGGUAGAGAAUACCAAGGCGCUUGAGAGAACUCGGGUGAAGGAACUAGGCAAAAUGGUGCCGUAACUUCGGGAGAAGGCACGCUGAUAUGUAGGUGAAGCGACUUGCUCGUGGAGCUGAAAUCAGUCGAAGAUACCAGCUGGCUGCAACUGUUUAUUAAAAACACAGCACUGUGCAAACACGAAAGUGGACGUAUACGGUGUGACGCCUGCCCGGUGCCGGAAGGUUAAUUGAUGGGGUCAGCGCAAGCGAAGCUCUUGAUCGAAGCCCCGGUAAACGGCGGCCGUAACUAUAACGGUCCUAAGGUAGCGAAAUUCCUUGUCGGGUAAGUUCCGACCUGCACGAAUGGCGUAAUGAUGGCCAGGCUGUCUCCACCCGAGACUCAGUGAAAUUGAACUCGCUGUGAAGAUGCAGUGUACCCGCGGCAAGACGGAAAGACCCCGUGAACCUUUACUAUAGCUUGACACUGAACAUUGAGCCUUGAUGUGUAGGAUAGGUGGGAGGCUUUGAAGUGUGGACGCCAGUCUGCAUGGAGCCGACCUUGAAAUACCACCCUUUAAUGUUUGAUGUUCUAACGUUGACCCGUAAUCCGGGUUGCGGACAGUGUCUGGUGGGUAGUUUGACUGGGGCGGUCUCCUCCUAAAGAGUAACGGAGGAGCACGAAGGUUGGCUAAUCCUGGUCGGACAUCAGGAGGUUAGUGCAAUGGCAUAAGCCAGCUUGACUGCGAGCGUGACGGCGCGAGCAGGUGCGAAAGCAGGUCAUAGUGAUCCGGUGGUUCUGAAUGGAAGGGCCAUCGCUCAACGGAUAAAAGGUACUCCGGGGAUAACAGGCUGAUACCGCCCAAGAGUUCAUAUCGACGGCGGUGUUUGGCACCUCGAUGUCGGCUCAUCACAUCCUGGGGCUGAAGUAGGUCCCAAGGGUAUGGCUGUUCGCCAUUUAAAGUGGUACGCGAGCUGGGUUUAGAACGUCGUGAGACAGUUCGGUCCCUAUCUGCCGUGGGCGCUGGAGAACUGAGGGGGGCUGCUCCUAGUACGAGAGGACCGGAGUGGACGCAUCACUGGUGUUCGGGUUGUCAUGCCAAUGGCACUGCCCGGUAGCUAAAUGCGGAAGAGAUAAGUGCUGAAAGCAUCUAAGCACGAAACUUGCCCCGAGAUGAGUUCUCCCUGACUCCUUGAGAGUCCUGAAGGAACGUUGAAGACGACGACGUUGAUAGGCCGGGUGUGUAAGCGCAGCGAUGCGUUGAGCUAACCGGUACUAAUGAACCGUGAGGCUUAACCUU
RNAcentral lists this ribosomal RNA (2902 nucleotides) under Escherichia coli. RNAcentral's name for it is "bacterial LSU rRNA". It matches the Rfam family "Bacterial large subunit ribosomal RNA". Lineage: Bacteria; Pseudomonadati; Pseudomonadota; Gammaproteobacteria; Enterobacterales; Enterobacteriaceae. The record is from RNAcentral.